CCGUCCUUAUUGUGAUGUUUUAACCAAGAAGGGAACAUGGUGGUGUUAUGAUUGACACAUAAGUAGGUGUUCAGGGUCCCUUCUUGAUCAUUACUAUUUCACGUCCGUUUAUGCGUAGAUCACUCUUCUUAUUCUUGUACUCGAAUGUUAGGCACUCAAAUAAAUGCUUAGUGCUUGCUCCAGCCUCACCACUUAACCACGCCUCACCCAUUAAGCUUCGCUAGUCUUGAUACCUUUGGAAAUGAGAUUAUUGAGUUUUUGGGUCACAAAUUACUACAACAAUAGUUGCAGGUACACAUAAAGCAAUACUUUUAUGUGAGGGUGAUG
This 327-nucleotide long non-coding RNA is filed under the name Hordeum vulgare. Its description in RNAcentral is "long non-coding RNA (HVUL_LNC009824)". Lineage: Eukaryota; Viridiplantae; Streptophyta; Magnoliopsida; Poales; Poaceae. The record is from RNAcentral.